RNAcentral lists this ribosomal RNA (462 nucleotides) under uncultured bacterium. Its description in RNAcentral is "partial 16S ribosomal RNA". It matches the Rfam family "Bacterial small subunit ribosomal RNA", at positions 29 to 507 of the family's 1533-position model. The record is from RNAcentral.
AGUGAACGCUGGCGGCGUGCCUAAUACAUGCAAGUCGAACGGAGAUUAAGUAGCUUGCUAUUUAAUCUUAGUGGCGCACGGGUGAGUAAUAUAUAGCUAACUUGCCCAUUACUAAGGGACAACAGUUGGAAACGACUGCUAAUACCUUAUACUCCGUAUCUAUAUAAGUAGAUACGGGAAAGUUUUUCGGUAAUGGAUAGGGCUAUAUCGUAUCAGCUAGUUGGUAAGGUAAUGGCUUACCAAGGCUAUGACGCGUAACUGGUCUGAGAGGAUGAUCAGUCACACUGGAACGGAGACACGGUCCAGACUCCUACGGGAGGCAGCAGUAGGGAAGAUUGCUCAAUGGGGGAAACCCUGAAGCAGCAACGCCGCGUGGAGGAUGACACUUUUCGGAGCGUAAACUCCUUUUCUUGGGAAAGAAUUAUGACGGUACCCAAGGAAUAAGCACCGGCUAACUCCGUG